CCUGGCUGCACUAGCGCGGUGGUCCCACCUGACCCCAUGCCGAACUCAGAAGUGAAACGCCGUAGCGCCGAUGGUAGUGUGGGGUCUCCCCAUGUGAGAGUAGGGAACUGCCAGGC
RNAcentral lists this ribosomal RNA (116 nucleotides) under Klebsiella oxytoca. Lineage: Bacteria; Pseudomonadati; Pseudomonadota; Gammaproteobacteria; Enterobacterales; Enterobacteriaceae. The record is from RNAcentral. RNAcentral also lists the same sequence under 2 other names.